UACGUACCCCUCAAGUGGUAUCCACUAAUAUUGGGCUUAAAGCGUUUGUAGCCGGUUUUGUAAGUCCUUUGUGAAAGCGAACAGCUUAACUGUCCGAAUUGCAAAGGAAACUGCAAGGCUCGAGAUCGGUAGACGUCAAGGGAAUUUCCGGGGUAACGGUGAAAUGUUGUGAUCCCGGAAAGACCACCAGUAGCGAAGGCGCUUGACGAGGACGAAUCUGACGGUGAGAGACGAAAGUUGGGGGA
Molecule: ribosomal RNA, 245 nt
Filed under: uncultured archaeon
Lineage: Archaea
Description: partial 16S ribosomal RNA
Rfam family: Archaeal small subunit ribosomal RNA
Source: RNAcentral